UGAGAGGAUGAUCAGCCACACUGGGACUGAGACACGGCCCAGACUCUACGGGAGGCAGCAGUGGGGAAUUUUGGACAAUGGGGGAAACCCUGAUCCAGCCAUCCCGCGUGUGCGAUGAAGGCCUUCGGGUUGUAAAGCACUUUUGGCAGGAAAGAAACGUCAUGGGUUAAUACCCCGUGAAACUGACGGUACCUGCAGAAUAAGCACCGGCUAACUACGUGCCAGCAGCCGCGGUAAUACGUAGGGUGCAAGCGUUAAUCGGAAUUACUGGGCGUAAAGCGUGCGCAGGCGGUUCGGAAAGAAAGAUGUGAAAUCCCAGAGCUUAACUUUGGAACUGCAUUUUUAACUACCGAGCUAGAGUGUGUCAGAGGGAGGUGGAAUUCCGCGUGUAGCAGUGAAAUGCGUAGAUAUGCGGAGGAACACCGAUGGCGAAGGCAAUCCCCUGGGCCUGCACUGACGCUCAUGCACGAAAGCGUGGGGAGCAAACAGGAUUAGAUAC
This 499-nucleotide ribosomal RNA is filed under the name uncultured Bordetella sp. Its description in RNAcentral is "bacterial SSU rRNA". It matches the Rfam family "Bacterial small subunit ribosomal RNA", at positions 293 to 785 of the family's 1533-position model. Lineage: Bacteria; Pseudomonadati; Pseudomonadota; Betaproteobacteria; Burkholderiales; Alcaligenaceae. The record is from RNAcentral.